UUGGAGGGAGUCUGGUGCCAGCAGCCGCGGUAAUUCCAGCUCCAAUAGCGUAUAUUAAAGUUGUUGCAGUUAAAAAGCUCGUAGUUGAAUUUCGGGAUUAGUACGUCGGUCGUGCCUUAGGUACGUACUGGUAUUACUGGUUCCUACCUUCUGACGAACCAUCAUGUCAUUAAUUUGGUGUGGUGGGGAAUCAGGACUGUUACUUUGAAAAAAUUAGAGUGUUUAAAGCAGGCUCGCGCUUGAAUACAUUAGCAUGGAAUAAUGAAAUAGGACGUUG
Molecule: ribosomal RNA, 277 nt
Filed under: uncultured Glomus
Lineage: Eukaryota; Fungi; Glomeromycota; Glomeromycetes; Glomerales; Glomeraceae
Description: partial 18S ribosomal RNA
Rfam family: Eukaryotic small subunit ribosomal RNA
Source: RNAcentral